AGUGAAGAGAAGAAUUUUGAAAUUCAAGAUUAGUUUCUUCGCUCUUCGUCUCUUUCUCUCUCCCUCUCUUAUCUUAAACUCAUCGUUGCUUUUGCUCUCUCGCCGUCGUCUGAGUCGGCAAAAAUGAGUAAGAAAUCGCGAAAAAAAUGAGUAAGAAAUCGCGAGAAUCUGACGCUGACGAUAGUGAGAAGCCAUGGACCCUGGCAGAUUUCGAGAUCGGGAGACCACUGGGAAAGGGUAAAUUUGGCAGAGUCUAUCUCGCUCGAGAAGUUAAGGUCUGCCAUGGUUUUGAACUUUGAAGGUGAAGAAGAAGAAGACACGAGUGCUCACCGAAAUGGCUCUAAGAUUCAUGAAGCUCGCCAAAAAGUUCUCAGGAAUAUAUAAAAAAAAGAUGGAGACAAGCCUGUUUUGGUAACAUAGUGUGUCACCAUCUCUCCUUGUAUUCUUAUGAACUGUAGAUUAGAAUAACGCUUCCUUUCUUUCCUUCACGACCUGUUUACCGGGUUUGGUGAACAAAUGUCUCUGUGUUAUUAGGGAGCUAUAAUGAAAUACCUAUAAUGUAUAAUGAAAGAAAGGAAGCGCUAUUCUCAUCUACGUUCAUAUGAAUCCAAGGAUGUUAAAAAAUUUGAGAGAGACGUUGGAAUAAUGCUGGGAUAGGGCAGAAGCUGUUCCAGGAAGAUCAAAAAAAAAAAAUGAAAACAAGACUGCUAUGGUAACAUAGUGUGUCACCAUCUCUCAUACACAUAUGAGCUUUAUGCGUAUCAUAUCAAGCCCAUAUGUGCAUGAGAGAUGUGACACACCAUGUUACCAAAACAGGCUUGUCUCCAUCUUUUUUUUUUAUCUACCUGAGAACAUUUUUAUCUUCUAGAGAUUUAGAAACCUAAUUGGUUGCGAUUUUGUUCACAUUUAUGAUAUAGAGCAAGUUCAUAGUUAGGCGCUCAAAGUGAUAUCCUCGGCCUCUACGGUUGGUUCCAUGACGACGAUGAAGGCAUUUUCUUGAUUCUCUCGAGUAUGCUCAUGGUCAUGGUGGUGAGCUCUAAUCUAUGGCCUCCUCAAAGAGAAUGGCCAUCUCUCUGAAAAGCAAGCAAGCCGCCACUAGUACAUUGUAAAUCUCAGUCAGGCACGAGCCUAUUGUCAUGGAAAUCUGUGAUUCACAGAGACAUCGUACCUGAAAACGUUGUUGCUCGAUCAUGAGAAGAAACUUAAAACCGCAGCUCCUGAUGAGCUUGUGCUUGUCCAAUUUAAUGGUAUGCAGAAUUCUUCAUAUCGAUCUGUACUUUUCCUACUACCCCAAAUGUUUCAGCAGAAGCCAAACAUCUUAUCAGUCAGCUUCUUGUUAAGGAGGAUCUCUCAGAAACGACUCUCCAUUGAUAAGAUCAUGCAACAUCCGUGGAUUGUCAAGAAAGAACGCAGAUCCUAAAGCCUCACUCUUUAUCCGGUAGCGACAUUGAUAAAAUUGUCAGAGAAACCCAAGG
Camelina sativa (false flax) is the source of this 1475-nucleotide non-coding RNA. The record is from RefSeq and is a predicted model, not a curated record. NCBI's taxonomy places the organism in Eukaryota, Viridiplantae, Streptophyta, Magnoliopsida, Brassicales, Brassicaceae.